GACGAACGCUGGCGGCGUGCUUAACACAUGCAAGUGGAGCGACGAACCGGGGCUUGCCCCGGGGCAGAGCCGCGAACGGGUGAGUAACACGUGGGUAACCUGCCUCAAUGAUUGGGACAACCCCGGGGAAACUCGGGCUAAUACCAAAUGUGUUCACUCCUUCUAAGGGGAGUGAGGAAAGGAAGCUUCGGCCUCCGCAUUGAGAUGGGCCCGCGGCCCAUUAGCUUGUUGGUGAGGUAACGGCUCACCAAGGCUUCGAUGGGUAGCUGGUCUGAGAGGACGAUCAGCCACACUGGGACUGAGACACGGCCCAGACUCCUACGGGAGGCAGCAGUGGGGAAUCUUGCACAAUGCGCGAAAGCGUGAUGCAGCAACGCCGCGUGGGGGAAGACGGCC
Molecule: ribosomal RNA, 396 nt
Filed under: uncultured bacterium
Lineage: Bacteria
Description: bacterial SSU rRNA
Rfam family: Bacterial small subunit ribosomal RNA
Source: RNAcentral